This 232-nucleotide ribosomal RNA is filed under the name uncultured bacterium. RNAcentral describes it as "partial 16S ribosomal RNA". It matches the Rfam family "Bacterial small subunit ribosomal RNA", at positions 99 to 334 of the family's 1533-position model. The record is from RNAcentral.
CGGACGGGUGAGUAAUGUCUGGGAAACUGCCUGAUGGAGGGGGAUAACUACUGGAAACGGUAGCUAAUACCGCAUAACGUCGCAAGACCAAAGAGGGGGACCUUAGGGCCUCUUGCCAUCGGAUGUGCCCAGAUGGGAUUAGCUAGUAGGUGGGGUAACGGCUCACCUAGGCGACGAUCCCUAGCUGGUCUGAGAGGAUGACCAACCACACUGGAACUGAGACACGGUCCAG